This 72-nucleotide transfer RNA is filed under the name Ishige okamurae. RNAcentral's name for it is "tRNA-Lys". It matches the Rfam family "tRNA". Rfam says of the family: Transfer RNA (tRNA) molecules are approximately 80 nucleotides in length. Their secondary structure includes four short double-helical elements and three loops (D, anti-codon, and T loops). The record is from RNAcentral. Lineage: Eukaryota; Phaeophyceae; Ectocarpales; Ishigeaceae.
GGGUGCAUAGCUCAAUGGUAGAGCACCUGUCUUUUAAACAGUGGGUUUUGAGUUCGAUUCUCAAUGCACCCA